This 84-nucleotide transfer RNA is filed under the name Rhodopseudomonas palustris HaA2. RNAcentral's name for it is "tRNA-Lys (CTT) (tRNA-Lys-CTT-2-1)". The record is from RNAcentral. Lineage: Bacteria; Pseudomonadati; Pseudomonadota; Alphaproteobacteria; Hyphomicrobiales; Nitrobacteraceae.
GGGACGUGCUGACGCGUCAUGAAAGUUGAAUGCAGCUGACUCUUAAUCAGCGGGUCCCAGGUUCGAGCCCUGGUGCGCCCACCA